UCCGGUUGAUCCUGCCGGAGUGCCACUGAUAUCGGAUUCUGAUUAAUGCCAUGCGAUAUCGAGAGGUGCAGGACCUCGAGCAUACUGCUCAGUAAGCACGUGGACGAUCUAACCUAUGGAAGGGGAUAACCCCGGGAAACUGGGUGAUAAUACCCUAUAGACUAUGGAGGCUGGAAUGCGCUGUAGUCGAAAGGUCCGCCGCCAUAGGAUGGGUCUGCGGCCGAUUAGGUUGUUGUUGGGGUAACGGCCCAACAAGCCUGUAAUCGGUACGGGUUGUGGGGGCAAGAGCCCGGAGAUGGAUUCUGAGACACGAAUCCAGGCCCUACGGGGCGCAGCAUGCGCGAAAACUUUACAUCUUGCGGGAAACCGUGAUAGGGGAACUCCGAGUGCCCGUAAAAUCGGGCUGUCCACCAGUUUAUAUAACUGGUGAAGAAAGGGCCGGGCAAGACCGGUGCCAGCCGCCGCGGUAAUACCGGCGGCUCGAGUGGUGGCCACUAUUACUGGGCUUACAGCGUUCGUAGCUGGUUUGUUAAGUCUCUGGGGAAAUCUUCCGGCUCAACCGGAAGGCGUCUCAAGGAUACUGGCAGACUAAGGACCGAGAGAGGUGAGGGGUACUCCAGGUGUACGAGUGAAAUCCUGUACAUCUUGGGGGGACCCCCUGUAGCGAAUGCGCCUAACAGAACGGUACGAAAGUAGGUGCAAAGA
Molecule: ribosomal RNA, 705 nt
Filed under: uncultured archaeon
Lineage: Archaea
Description: bacterial SSU rRNA
Rfam family: Archaeal small subunit ribosomal RNA
Source: RNAcentral